This 213-nucleotide ribosomal RNA is filed under the name Columba livia (rock pigeon). Its description in RNAcentral is "partial 16S ribosomal RNA". Lineage: Eukaryota; Metazoa; Chordata; Aves; Columbiformes; Columbidae. The record is from RNAcentral.
UGUGGAACUUAAAAAUCAGCAGCCACCUCGCAACAAAACUUAACCUACUAGGCUCACCAGACAUGAUGCUGGCUCGCAUUUUUCGGUUGGGGCGACCUUGGAGAAAAACAAAACCUCCAAAAAUAAGACCACCCCUCUUAACUAAGAGCAACCCCUCAACGUACUAACAGUAACCAGACCCAAUAUAAUUGACCAAUGGACCAAGCUACCCCA